RNAcentral lists this ribosomal RNA (468 nucleotides) under uncultured bacterium. RNAcentral describes it as "partial 16S ribosomal RNA". It matches the Rfam family "Bacterial small subunit ribosomal RNA", at positions 28 to 507 of the family's 1533-position model. The record is from RNAcentral.
GACGAACGCUGGCGGCGUGCUUAACACAUGCAAGUCGAACGGAAAGGCCCUGCUUUUGUGGGGUGCUCGAGUGGCGAACGGGUGAGUAACACGUGAGUAACCUUCCCUUGACUUUGGGAUAACUUCAGGAAACUGGGGCUAAUACCGGAUAGGAGCUCCUGCUGCAUGGUGGGGGUUGGAAAGUUUCGGCGGUUGGGGAUGGACUCGCGUCUUAUCAGCUUGUUGGUGGGGUAGUGGCUUACCAAGGCUUUGACGGGUAGCCGGCCUGAGAGGGUGACCGGCCACAUUGGGACUGAGAGACGGCCCAGACUCCUACGGGAGGCAGCAGUGGGGAAUAGUGCACAAUGGGCGGAAGCCUGAUGCAGCAACGCCGCGUGCGGGAUGACGGCCUUCGGGUUGUAAACCGCUUUCGCCUGUGACGAAGCGUGAGUGACGGUAAUGGGUAAAGAAGCACCGGCUAACUACGUG